UACAGAGGUCUCAAGCGUUGUUCGGAAUUACUGGGCGUAAAGAGCGCGCAGGCGGUCGAUCAAGUCGAGUGUGAAAGCCCCCGGCUCAACUGGGGAGGGUCAUUCGAUACUGAUCGACUCGAAGGCAGGAGAGGGUAGUGGAAUUCCCGGUGUAGUGGUGAAAUGCGUAGAUAUCGGGAGGAACACCAGUGGCGAAGGCGACUACCUGGCCUGUUCUUGACGCUGAGGCGCGAAAGCUAGGGGAGCAAACGGG
This 253-nucleotide ribosomal RNA is filed under the name uncultured bacterium. RNAcentral's name for it is "partial 16S ribosomal RNA". It matches the Rfam family "Bacterial small subunit ribosomal RNA", at positions 524 to 776 of the family's 1533-position model. The record is from RNAcentral.